CACGUAGGGGGCAAGCGUUGUCCGGAUUUAUUGGGCGUAAAGAGCUCGUAGGCGGCUCAGUAAGUCGGGUGUGAAACCUCCAGGCUCAACCUGGAGACGCCACUCGAUACUGCUGUGGCUUGAGUCCGGUAGGGGAGCGUGGAAUUCCUGGUGUAGCGGUGAAAUGCGCAGAUAUCGGGAGGAACACCAAUGGCGAAGGCAGCUUGCUGGGACGGUACUGACGCUGAGACGCGAAAGCGUGGGGAGCAAACAGG
Molecule: ribosomal RNA, 254 nt
Filed under: uncultured bacterium
Lineage: Bacteria
Description: partial 16S ribosomal RNA
Rfam family: Bacterial small subunit ribosomal RNA
Source: RNAcentral